GUCAAAAAUUGUUCAAUGGAGAUGAGAGAUUAAAUUUUUUACACAUUUUUGAAAUGUUACUGAUGAAAUUCUAAUAGAAAUGCAAAGUAUACUGCAAUGGAAAUCUUGAAUCACCAUGCGUUCUCAAUAAUCGUGAAGAAAAUCCUAUUGGAUAAUGACGAGGUGCGGCAUGUGGGGGGGAAGUAAUUUGACGACAUGGCAACACAUUAUUGGCAAAUGUGAUUGGCUAUGCUCUGUAAGCUCACGUGACGUCGACAGUGUGCUCCGAUUCGUUUAUUUACCAGAAACCUUUCGUGAAAAACGUUCUGGUCACGUGAUGCUUAGUCGCCAUCUUGCCAUUCAACAUUUUGUCAACUAUAGGCCGAGAAGUGAGAGAGUAUCGGGCUUAAGGUGCCUAUUUGGUGCAAAUUAUCUCGCGUUCUUGACAAAUAAUUAAAAGACUCUGAACAUUGACAUUACGGCAGGUGAGAUGAUCAUCGAUUACCUUCGUCUGGGAAUAUGGUUUAAACCGUUCAAAUGACGCGCGAUGGUUAAGGAUAGUUUUCCCGCCGUACGUUAGGGUUUUAAAAAGAUGAAAAGUUGAAAUAAAAGAAUCAUCAAAUCAGCCGUGAUCCAC
This 616-nucleotide long non-coding RNA is filed under the name Androctonus crassicauda. The record is from RNAcentral. Lineage: Eukaryota; Metazoa; Arthropoda; Arachnida; Scorpiones; Buthidae.